RNAcentral lists this ribosomal RNA (579 nucleotides) under Filobasidium stepposum. RNAcentral describes it as "eukaryotic LSU rRNA". It matches the Rfam family "Eukaryotic large subunit ribosomal RNA", at positions 92 to 657 of the family's 3401-position model. Lineage: Eukaryota; Fungi; Basidiomycota; Tremellomycetes; Filobasidiales; Filobasidiaceae. The record is from RNAcentral.
AGUGAAGCGGGAAGAGCUCAAAUUUGAAAUCUGGUGGCCUCAGGUCAUCCGAGUUGUAAUCUAUAGAAGUGUUUUCCGUGCUGGCUCAUGUACAAGUCCCUUGGAACAGGGCGUCAUAGAGGGUGAGAAUCCCGUCCUUGACAUGAACUACCAGUGCUCUGUGAUACAUUUUCAACGAGUCGAGUUGUUUGGGAAUGCAGCUCAAAAUGGGUGGUAAAUUCCAUCUAAAGCUAAAUAUUGGCGAGAGACCGAUAGCGAACAAGUACCGUGAGGGAAAGAUGAAAAGCACUUUGGAAAGAGAGUUAAACAGUAUGUGAAAUUGUUAAAAGGGAAACGAUUGAAGUCAGUCGUGCUCUUUGGAUUCAGCCGGUUCUGCCGGUGUACUUCCUUUGAGUGGGGUCAACAUCAGUUUUGAUCGCUGGAUAAAGGCUGGAGGAACGUAGCACCCCCGGGUGAACUUAUAGCCUCCUGUCACAUACAGUGGUUGGGACUGAGGAACGCAGCACGCCUUUAUGGCCAGGAUCCGUCCAUGUACGUGCUUAGGAUGUUGACAUAAUGGCUUUAAACGACCCGUCUUGA